This 491-nucleotide ribosomal RNA is filed under the name uncultured bacterium. Its description in RNAcentral is "partial 16S ribosomal RNA". It matches the Rfam family "Bacterial small subunit ribosomal RNA", at positions 29 to 507 of the family's 1533-position model. The record is from RNAcentral.
GUGAACGCUGGCGGUAGGCCUAACACAUGCAAGUCGAACGGCAGCACCGUAAGAGCUUGCUCUUACGGGUGGCGAGUGGCGGACGGGUGAGGAAUACAUCGGAAUCUACUUUUUCGUGGGGGAUAACGUAGGGAAACUUACGCUAAUACCGCAUACGACCUACGGGUGAAAGCAGGGGAUCUUCGGACCUUGCGCGAUUGAAUGAGCCGAUGUCGGAUUAGCUAGUUGGCGGGGUAAAGGCCCACCAAGGCGACGAUCCGUAGCUGGUCUGAGAGGAUGAUCAGCCACACUGGAACUGAGACACGGUCCAGACUCCUACGGGAGGCAGCAGUGGGGAAUAUUGGACAAUGGGCGCAAGCCUGAUCCAGCCAUACCGCGUGGGUGAAGAAGGCCUUCGGGUUGUAAGGCCCUUUUGUUGGGAAAGAAAAGCAGCAGGUUAAUACCCCGCUGUUCUGACGGUACCCAAAGAAUAAGCACCGGCUAACUUCGUG